GGCAUAGUAGCUAAGUGGGAAAGUGUUGGUCUCAUAAGCCAGAAAUCAUGGGUUCAAUCCCCAUCUGUGCCU
Molecule: non-coding RNA, 72 nt
Organism: Rhincodon typus (whale shark)
Lineage: Eukaryota; Metazoa; Chordata; Chondrichthyes; Orectolobiformes; Rhincodontidae
Source: the annotation of a RefSeq genome assembly